This is a small nucleolar RNA of Meriones unguiculatus (Mongolian gerbil), 144 nucleotides long. The record is from Ensembl. NCBI's taxonomy places the organism in Eukaryota, Metazoa, Chordata, Mammalia, Rodentia, Muridae.
UGCCCCUGGCAAUGAGCAAAGGAUCACCUUGCUGGUGGUGGUGUUCUUAAUUCAGUCAGGGGCAGAGCAGAUGGCAGUCCUGAUAUCAUUCUAACUUGAUGCCUGUCUUAGUGGCCAAAGCUGUUUUAUGUCUGGGACAUAUUA